RNAcentral lists this ribosomal RNA (1141 nucleotides) under Candidatus Synechococcus spongiarum. RNAcentral describes it as "bacterial SSU rRNA". It matches the Rfam family "Bacterial small subunit ribosomal RNA", at positions 376 to 1533 of the family's 1533-position model. Lineage: Bacteria; Bacillati; Cyanobacteriota; Cyanophyceae; Synechococcales; Synechococcaceae. The record is from RNAcentral.
CGAAAGCCUGACGGAGCAACGCCGCGUGAGGGAUGGAGGCCUUUGGGCUGUAAACCUCUUUUCUCAAGGAAGAAGAUCUGACGGUACUUGAGGAAUAAGCCACGGCUAAUUCCGUGCCAGCAGCCGCGGUAAUACGGGAGUGGCAAGCGUUAUCCGGAAUUAUUGGGCGUAAAGCGUCCGCAGGCGGCCGUUUAAGUCUGUUGUUAAAUCGUGGAGCUCAACUCCAUCACGGCAAUGGAAACUGUUCGGCUUGAGUAUGGUAGGGGCAGAGGGAAUUUCCGGUGUAGUGGUGAAAUGCGUAGAUAUCGGGAAGAACACCAGUGGCGAAAGCGCUCUGCUGGGCCAUUACUGACGCUCAUGGACGAAAGCCAGGGGAGCGAAAGGGAUUAGAUACCCCUGUAGUCCUGGCCGUAAACGAUGAACACUAGAUGUUGGGGGAAUCGACCCCCUCGGUGUCGUAGCUAACGCGUUAAGUGUUCCGCCUGGGGAGUACGCACGCAAGUGUAAAACUCAAAGGAAUUGACGGGGGCCCGCACAAGCGGUGGAGUAUGUGGUUUAAUUCGAUGCAACGCGAAGAACCUUACCAAGGCUUGACAUCCUGCGAAUCUCUAAGAAAUUAGAGAGUGCCUUCGGGAACGCAGUGACAGGUGGUGCAUGGCUGUCGUCAGCUCGUGUCGUGAGAUGUUGGGUUAAGUCCCGCAACGAGCGCAACCCACGUUUUUAGUUGCCAGCAUUCAGUUGGGCACUCUAGAAAGACUGCCGGUGACAAACCGGAGGAAGGUGUGGACGACGUCAAGUCAUCAUGCCCCUUACGCCUUGGGCUACACACGUACUACAAUGCUGCGGACAAAGAGUAGCGAUCUUGCGAAAGUUAGCUAAUCUCAUAAACCGUGGCUCAGUUCAGAUCGUAGGCUGCAACUCGCCUACGUGAAGGAGGAAUCGCUAGUAAUCGCAGGUCAGCAUACUGCGGUGAAUACGUUCCCGGGCCUUGUACACACCGCCCGUCACACCAUGGAAGUUGGCCAUGCCCGAAGUCGUUACUCUAACCUUUUGGAAGAGGGCGCCGAAGGCAGGGCUAAUGACUGGGGUGAAGUCGUAACAAGGUAGCCGUAGCGGAAGCUGCGGCUGGAUCACCUCCUAA